UUGAAUGUUUGAAGUUUGCUGAGCUGGUCUUGUUUAAUUGGGGCAUGUGCUCGCUGCUUCUAUUCAUCUUUAUCCACCUGUGCACUUAUUGUAGAGCUUUUGAAGAGGGUCUUAGUUUCACUCUAAGGCUAGUAUUUGAGGUUCUAUGUCUUUAUUAAACUCUUAUGAAUGUCUUGAAUGUCUUUUUAUUGGGACUUGACUGGCCCUUUAAAAUUUUGUA
This 220-nucleotide unclassified non-coding RNA is filed under the name uncultured Marasmiaceae. RNAcentral describes it as "sequence contains ITS1". The record is from RNAcentral. Lineage: Eukaryota; Fungi; Basidiomycota; Agaricomycetes; Agaricales.